UAUAGUAUAUAAUAUAAAUACUAGUUGUUAAAUAUUUUAUAAAUAAAAAAAAAACAAAAAAGUAAAAUCACUGCUUUAAAUAUUGGUUUAAAUAUUAUUUUUAUAGCAGCGGUAAAGAGUUAGUUUAUAGUUUUAUACGAGAAAUAUUUAUUAAAAUUAGUUAAAUUUGUGCCAGCAUCUGCGGUUAUACUAAGAAUUUAAUUGAUAUUUUUUAGGGUUUAUGGUAUUGUAUAUUUUUAAAAUAUCAUUUGGUGAAAUAAGUUAUUUGAAUAAGAUAAUUAUUACAAAUAGUAUAGUUUAGGUAAAAGCAGGAUUAGAUACCCUGUUAUUUUAAUUUUUGGUCUUUUCUCUAAGAAUUAUAGUUAAAUUUAAAAGAUUUGGCGGCUGAAUUAAAUUAAAGGAGUUUGUUUUAUUAUUUGACGAGACUCAUUAGGUUUUACUUACAUUUUUUUAGUAUACCGUCAUUUAAGGUAGUUUGUAAUUAAUUAACUGUCGUAAUGUGGUUAAAUAAGUUAGAUCAAGGUGCAGAUAUAUGUAAGGAGAGAUUAACUACAAUAGAUUAUUGCUAUACUUGAAUUUCUUAAUAGAACUUUGUAGGUGGAUUUAAUUGUAAUUAAAAUAAUAUGAAAUUACUUUUAGUGUACAAAUUGCCCGUCAUUCUCUAUGAGACAAGUCGAAACAAAGUAGGGCUAUCGGAAGUUGGACCUA
RNAcentral lists this ribosomal RNA (708 nucleotides) under Pseudoniphargus cupicola. RNAcentral's name for it is "12S ribosomal RNA". Lineage: Eukaryota; Metazoa; Arthropoda; Malacostraca; Amphipoda; Allocrangonyctidae. The record is from RNAcentral.